RNAcentral lists this ribosomal RNA (353 nucleotides) under uncultured bacterium. Its description in RNAcentral is "bacterial SSU rRNA". It matches the Rfam family "Bacterial small subunit ribosomal RNA", at positions 69 to 422 of the family's 1533-position model. The record is from RNAcentral.
CAGGAAGCAGCUUGCUGCUUCGCUGACGAGUGGCGGACGGGUGAGUAAUGUCUGGGAAACUGCCUGAUGGAGGGGGAUAACUACUGGAAACGGUAGCUAAUACCGCAUAACGUCGCAAGACCAAAGAGGGGGACCUUAGGGCCUCUUGCCAUCGGAUGUGCCCAGAUGGGAUUAGCUAGUAGGUGGGGUAACGGCUCACCUAGGCGACGAUCCCUAGCUGGUCUGAGAGGAUGACCAGCCACACUGGAACUGAGACACGGGCCAGACUCCUACGGGAGGCAGCAGUGGGGAAUUUUGCACAAUGCCCGAAAGGGUGAUGCAGCAACGCCGCGUGAGGGAUGAAGGCCUUCGGG